GUGGGGAAUAUUGGACAAUGGGCGAAAGCCUGAUCCAGCCAUGCCGCGUGUGUGAAGAAGGUCUUCGGAUUGUAAAGCACUUUAAGUUGGGAGGAAGGGUAGUAACCUAAUACGUUGCUACUUUGACGUUACCGACAGAAUAAGCACCGGCUAACUUCGUGCCAGCAGCCGCGGUAAUACGAAGGGUGCAAGCGUUAAUCGGAAUUACUGGGCGUAAAGCGCGCGUAGGUGGUUCAGUAAGUUGGAAGUGAAAUCCCCGGGCUCAACCUGGGAACUGCCUCCAAAACUGCAUGACUAGAGUACGGUAGAGGGUAGUGGAAUUUCCUGUGUAGCGGUGAAAUGCGUAGAUAUAGGAAGGAACACCAGUGGCGAAGGCGACUACCUGGACUGAUACUGACACUGAGGUGCGAAAGCGUGGGGAGCAAACAGGAUUAGAAACCCUAGUAGUCC
RNAcentral lists this ribosomal RNA (450 nucleotides) under uncultured bacterium. Its description in RNAcentral is "partial 16S ribosomal RNA". It matches the Rfam family "Bacterial small subunit ribosomal RNA", at positions 354 to 796 of the family's 1533-position model. The record is from RNAcentral.